RNAcentral lists this ribosomal RNA (406 nucleotides) under uncultured bacterium. RNAcentral describes it as "partial 16S ribosomal RNA". It matches the Rfam family "Bacterial small subunit ribosomal RNA", at positions 29 to 526 of the family's 1533-position model. The record is from RNAcentral.
AUUGAACGCUGGCGGCAGGCCUAACACAUGCAAGUCGAACGAGUGGCGGACGGGUGAGUAAUGUCUGGGAAACUGCCUGAUGGAGGGGGAUAACUACUGGAAACGGUAGCUAAUACCGCAUACCAUCGGAUGUGCCCAGAGGGGAUUAGCUAGUAGGGGGGGUAACGGCUCACCUAGGCGACGAUCCCUAGCUGGUCUGAGAGGAUGACCAGCCACACUAGAAGUGAGACACGGACCAGACUCCGAGGGGAGGCAGCAGUGGGGAAUAUUGCACAAUGGGCACAAGCCUGAUGCAGCCAGGCCGCGUGUAUGAAGAAGGCCUUCGGGUUGUAAAGUGCUUUCAGCGGGGAGGCGUUACCCGCAGAAGAAGCGCCGGCUAACUCCGUGCCAGCAGCCGCGGUAAUAC